RNAcentral lists this non-coding RNA (45 nucleotides) under Trichobilharzia regenti. Lineage: Eukaryota; Metazoa; Platyhelminthes; Trematoda; Strigeidida; Schistosomatidae. The record is from RNAcentral.
GUACUGCUGAAGAGUCCCGAACAGGACGAAACAGUCGUCCAGUAU